This 200-nucleotide ribosomal RNA is filed under the name uncultured bacterium. RNAcentral's name for it is "partial 16S ribosomal RNA". It matches the Rfam family "Bacterial small subunit ribosomal RNA", at positions 8 to 228 of the family's 1533-position model. The record is from RNAcentral.
AGAGUUUGAUCAUGGCUCAGAGCGAACGCUGGCGGCGUGCCUAACACAUGCAAGUCGAACGCCCUGUUUCGGCAGGGAGUGGCGGACGGGUGAGGAACACGUGGGUACCUACCCUUCAGUGAGGAAUACCGGCGAGAAAUCGCCGACAAUACCGCAUACGCUUGGAAACAAGCAAAGCUCGCAAGAGCGCUGAAGGAUGG